RNAcentral lists this transfer RNA (72 nucleotides) under Anolis carolinensis (green anole). It matches the Rfam family "tRNA". Rfam says of the family: Transfer RNA (tRNA) molecules are approximately 80 nucleotides in length. Their secondary structure includes four short double-helical elements and three loops (D, anti-codon, and T loops). Lineage: Eukaryota; Metazoa; Chordata; Lepidosauria; Squamata; Anolidae. The record is from Rfam by way of RNAcentral.
AUCAGUGUGGUGUAGUGGUUUGAGCAUUGGACUAUGACUCUGAAGGCCAGGGUUCAAAUCCCUACUCAGACA